Molecule: ribosomal RNA, 788 nt
Filed under: uncultured bacterium
Lineage: Bacteria
Description: bacterial SSU rRNA
Rfam family: Bacterial small subunit ribosomal RNA
Source: RNAcentral
GNAGACGCUGCGGCAGGCCUAAUACAUGCAAGUCGUACGGGAUUCGGUCUUUCGGGACUGAUGAGAGUGGCGGACGGGUGCGUAACGCGUAUGCNACCUACCUUAUACUGCGGGAUAGCCCGGGGAAACCCGGAUUAAUACCGCAUGGUACAUUAUUCUCGCAUGGGGGUAUUGUUAAAGAUUUAUCGGUAUAAGCUGGGCAUGCGUAGGAUUGGUUAGUUGGCGGGGUAACGGCCCACCAAGACUGUGAUCCUUAGGGGUUCUGAGAGGAAGGUCCCCCACACUGGCACUGAGAUACGGGCCAGACUCCUACGGGAGGCAGCAGUAGGGAAUAUUGGGCAAUGGGCGGAAGCCUGACCCAGCCAUGCCGCGUGCAGGAAGACGGCGUUCUGCGUUGUAAACUGCUUUUAUCAGGGAAGAAAAAGUCCAUGCGUGGAAAAUUGCCGGUACCUGGUGAAUAAGCACCGGCUAACUCCGUGCCAGCAGCCGCGGUAAUACGGAGGGUGCAAGCGUUGUCCGGAUUUAUUGGGUUUAAAGGGUGCGUAGGCGGCUAGUUAAGUCAGCGGUGAAAGUUUUCGGCUCAACCGGAAAAAUGCCGUUGAUACUGUCUGGCUUGAGUCACGGAAGGGUACAUGGGAAUUGGUGGUGUAGCGGUGAAAUGCACAGAUACCAUCAGGAACACCGAUAGCGAAGGCAUUGGUACUUGCCGUGAACUGACGCUGAGGCACGAAAGCGCGGGUAGCGAACAGGAUUAGAUACCCUGGUAGUCCGCGCCGUAAACGAUGAUC